This is a long non-coding RNA of Xenopus laevis (African clawed frog), 671 nucleotides long. RefSeq lists it as uncharacterized. Lineage: Eukaryota; Metazoa; Chordata; Amphibia; Anura; Pipidae. The record is from RefSeq and is a predicted model, not a curated record. The transcript is spliced from 3 exons.
CCACUCCUCACACUCUGGGACAAGAGAGGAGCACCUGAGGGAUGGUCUCCUUACGGCUGAGAAAGGUCAAACUGGAGGAUGCUGGGAAAUCUAAGUGCAACAUGGCGCCCUCCCUGCAACCAAAACAGUCACCCUGAAAAUCUUGGACUGAAGACUCCAGCAGGUUCUUCUGGGCCAGACCAGCUUCUUUCCAAGAAUGUGUUCCUCAAGUGCCUGUUUGAAGGAAACACCAUGCCCAUUAAGCUGGGGGGUCUGAGCGUAUGUUGGGAACACAAUGGCAAGUCAUUCGUGGAGUUCCACCAUGGAGAACUUGUGGUUCAUGAGACCCAGGUGAUGUUGUCCCCAGCAGAACUUGAGAAGGGAAAUGUUCCUCUAACCCUGACCAAUGUGACUCUGACUGACGGUGGCAAAUACACUGGUGUAAUUCAGUAUGAUGUCAGCCAAGGGCACUGUGGGUACAGACUGAUUGUGCAAGUUGGGUACACACAACAAUAUCAGCAUUAUUCUCUCCCUCCUCUCUUCCUCCAGCACAAUUGAACCAGAUGGACCUUGAGUGACAUUCUGCCCCAGAGCAUGCUGCAGGAUAUUCAGUGACUCCCUCUAAUGUCUUUGUACUGCGCUAUGGAUCAUGUUGGAAAGUCACUCAGCACAACCUGAAGAAGUCCAUCAGU